Molecule: long non-coding RNA, 1120 nt
Filed under: Marmota monax (woodchuck)
Lineage: Eukaryota; Metazoa; Chordata; Mammalia; Rodentia; Sciuridae
Source: RNAcentral
GAAAAAGAUAAAAUUCUCUUCCGACCUGGAGAGAAGUCAAUAAGUAAUGUAAAAGGGUUUAAAUCACUAAGUGGCCAUGUGCUUAUAUGUCACAUAUCACAUAGAGAUACAGAGGGGACUUCCAAAGAGUGAGCUAAAAGAAGUUCAAAGGUUGUCUCUGAGAAGCAGAAAAUGGUGAUGAGGAAGGGGUCCUACUAUUUUCAUAACAAGCCUUAUGAAAAAUUUUCACUCUUUAAGUUAUAUAGAAAUUAACAGGCAUAAAAUAUGGAAAAAAUACAAGGUAACUACAGAGACUUUUCAAAUGAACAACACCCUUCUCCCCAAUCUCUGUGACAACACUGUCUUGUUUCAGAUCUCACUUGUCUUCCCCCAACCACUCACCCACAUAACAAGGACACUAAGGAGAGGGAAGGGAAACACUGGAUGAUUCUGGGAUCUGCUCAGCCAGAAUCAUAUUAGAAUCCCUGGCUCUGUUUUUAGUCUGUUUUCACCAGAUAACUUCUUCUGGGCAACUUUGCUAAGAGCCACAGCCAAGUAAUACGAUGCAUGGCAUUUUUGGUUGAAAGGUGAUGCCAGCAAGCCAUUGAGAUGAUAUGAUUAUGUUAAGAUUUGCAUUCAUAUGGAUAUUGGACUCCUGCUGUCCACCUUGGCCUGCUAUGGGACUCCUGGAGAGUUCCCAUUGGUUGGGGAAGUGCGGUAGGAGGGAAUUCCGGAGGAGGAACCUCCUCUUGGGAUCCGGGAGAACUGCGGCAUGCGUCCAUCGAAAAUCUUCCCGGGCGCGGAUGGAGCAUUGGCGGCAGUUUCAAAAAAUAAAGUUUGUUCCUGCUUGAGUGGCUCGUGAUUUUGUGCCCAGCCAGACUGCGGCACAACUUAAAAGUUUUAUAUUGAAAUUAUAAGUUUCAAAACCAGGCUGACUCAAUACUUGCAUAUUUCUUCUUCCUUACUUUCCAUUGAAAGGUCCAAGCAAUCGAUUUCAAAUCGAUUCCUCUUUUGACCAAAGAGAAAGGAGGCUUCAUUCAAAGCCCUGAAGCAAUAAGAAAAAAAAAAAAAAGUCUACUUCUGUGGCAUGGUUUAAGUCAUCUUCCAAGUCCUCUCAUAAGUGAAAUUUCCUGAAUAAUAU